UUUCCGUAGGUGAACCUGCGGAAGGAUCAUUACUGAGACUGGGUGCUUCGGCGCCCGACCUCCAACCCUUUGUCUACCUUACCUCUGUUGCCUCCCGCCCGAUUAGGUAGAGAUACCGAAAAGGCGGGAAGGCCUAACCAUAAACCCUUUUUUAAACCCAGUCUUCUGAGAAAUUAUUUAAUAACUUCAAAACUUUCAACAACGGAUCUCUUGGUUCUG
This 219-nucleotide unclassified non-coding RNA is filed under the name soil metagenome. RNAcentral describes it as "partial contains small subunit ribosomal RNA, internal transcribed spacer 1, and 5.8S ribosomal RNA". The record is from RNAcentral.